This 482-nucleotide ribosomal RNA is filed under the name uncultured bacterium. RNAcentral's name for it is "partial 16S ribosomal RNA". It matches the Rfam family "Bacterial small subunit ribosomal RNA", at positions 28 to 523 of the family's 1533-position model. The record is from RNAcentral.
GACGAACGCUGGCGGCGUGGUUAACACAUGCAAGUCGAACGAUGAAGCCCAGCUUGCUGGGUGGAUUAGUGGCGAACGGGUGAGUAACACGUGGGCAACCUGCACCAAACUCUGGGAUAACUCCUCGAAAGAGGUGCUAAUAACGGAUACGAACUAGGUAGACAUCUUCCCGAGUUUGAAAGUUCUUCGGUUCGGGAUGGGCUCGAGGCCUAUCAGCUUGUUGGUGAGGUAACGGCUCACCAAGGCUACGACGGGUAACCGGCCUGAGAGGGCGACCGGUCACACUGGGACUGAGACACGGCCCAGACUCCUACUGUAGGCAGCAGUGGGGAAUAUUGCGCAAUGGGCGAAAGCCUGACGCAGCGACGCCGCGUGAGGGAUGAAGGUCUUCGGGUUGUAAACCUCUUUUAGUAGGGAAGAAGCGAAAGUGACGGUACCUGCAGAAAAAGCACCGGCUAACUACGUGCCAGCCGCCGCCGUAA